CUUAGCGGCGGACGGGUGAGUAACACGUGGGCAACCUGCCCUUGAGACGGGGAUAACUCCGGGAAACCGGAGCUAAUACCGGAUAACACAUAUCUUCGCAUGAGGAUAUGUUAGAAGGUGGCUUUUAGCUACCACUCAAGGAUGGGCCCGCGGCGCAUUAGCUAGUUGGUGAGGUAACGGCUCACCAAGGCGACGAUGCGUAGCCGACCUGAGAGGGUGAUCGGCCACACUGGGACUGAGACACGGCCCAGACUCCUACGGGAGGCAGCAGUAGGGAAUCUUCCGCAAUGGACGAAAGUCUGACGGAGCAACGCCGCGUGAGUGAUGAAGGUUUUCGGAUCGUAAAGCUCUGUUGUUAGGGAAGAACAAGUAUCUGUUGAAUAAGCAGGUACCUUGACGGUACCUAACCAGAAAGCCACGGCUAACUACGUGCCAGCAGCCGCGGUAAUACGUAGGUGGCAAGCGUUGUCCGGAAUUAUUGGGCGUAAAGCGCGCGCAGGCGGUUCCUUAAGUCUGAUGUGAAAGCCCACGGCUCAACCGUGGAGGGUCAUUGGAAACUGGGGAACUUGAGUGCAGAAGAGGAGAGCGGAAUUCCACGUGUAGCGGUGAAAUGCGUAGAGAUGUGGAGGAACACCAGUGGCGAAGGCGGCUCUCUGGUCUGUAACUGACGCUGAGGCGCGAAAGCGUGGGGAGCGAACAGGAUUAGAUACCCUGGUAGU
RNAcentral lists this ribosomal RNA (719 nucleotides) under Priestia endophytica. RNAcentral describes it as "bacterial SSU rRNA". It matches the Rfam family "Bacterial small subunit ribosomal RNA", at positions 91 to 794 of the family's 1533-position model. The record is from RNAcentral. Lineage: Bacteria; Bacillati; Bacillota; Bacilli; Caryophanales; Bacillaceae.